This 253-nucleotide ribosomal RNA is filed under the name uncultured bacterium. Its description in RNAcentral is "partial 16S ribosomal RNA". It matches the Rfam family "Bacterial small subunit ribosomal RNA", at positions 524 to 776 of the family's 1533-position model. The record is from RNAcentral.
UACAGAGGGGGCAAGCGUUAUUCGGAAUUAUUGGGCGUAAAGGGCGCGUAGGCGGCCUGGCAAGUGACGGGUGAAAGCCCUCGGCUUAACCGAGGAACUGCCUGUCAGACUGUUAGGCUUGAGACCGGGAGAGGUGAGUGGAAUUCCCAGUGUAGCGGUGAAAUGCGUAGAUAUUGGGAGGAACACCAGUGGCGAAGGCGGCUCACUGGACCGGUACCGACGCUGAGGCGCGAAAGCGUGGGGAGCAAACAGG